GUAACAUGGAUUGCUUGCAAUCUGAUGACGAGUGGCGCACGGGUGCGUAACGCGUAUGCAAUCUACCUUUUACAGGAGAAUAGCCCAGAGAAAUUUGGAAUAAUGCUCCAUAAUAUCAUUUAUCAGCAUUGGUUUAUGAUUAAAGCUCCGGCGGUAAAAGAUGAGCAUGCGUUCUAUUAGCUAGUAGGUGAGGUAACGGCUCACCUAGGCUACGAUAGAUAGGGGCCCUGAGAGGGGGAUCCCCCACACUGGUACUGAGACACGGACCAGACUCCUACGGGAGGCAGCAGUGAGGAAUAUUGGACAAUGGAGGAAACUCUGAUCCAGCCAUGCCGCGUGCAGGAUGACUGCCCUAUGGGUUGUAAACUGCUUUUAUAUAGGAAGAAACACUCCCACGUGUGGGGGCUUGACGGUACUAUAUGAAUAAGGAUCGGCUAACUCCGUGCCAGCAGCCGCGGUAAUACGGAGGAUCCAAGCGUUACCCGGAAUCAUUGGGUUUAAAGGGUCCGCAGGCGGCCUGUUAAGUCAGAGGUGAAAUCCUACAGCUCAACUGUAGAACUGCCUUUGAUACUGAUAGGCUGGAGUUAUUGUGAAGUGGUUAGAAUGUGUGGUGUAGCGGUGAAAUGCUUAGAUAUCACACAGAAUACCCAUUGCGAAGGCAGAUCACUAACAAUAUACUGACGCUCAUGGACGAAAGCGUGGGGAGCGAACGGGAUUAGAUACCCCGGUAGUCCACGCCGUAAACGAUGGAUACUAACUGUUCGACCUUCGGGUUGAGUGGUCAAGCGAAAGUGAUAAGUAUCCCACCUGGGGAG
Molecule: ribosomal RNA, 815 nt
Filed under: uncultured marine bacterium
Lineage: Bacteria
Description: bacterial SSU rRNA
Rfam family: Bacterial small subunit ribosomal RNA
Source: RNAcentral